UACGACGGUGAGCUGGGUGUGGCAGUUUUUUUUAUAUCUUUGUUGCUGGGUGCGCGUGUGCAAGUGUGCAAGGAGUGGGGUGGGAAGAGCGAGGGCUAGGGUAGAGGGGUGGCCGGAGUUGAACCGAUACCGCUGCCCCUCUGCUCCUAGUUGUUGAGGAGAGGAAACGGAAGAGGUAGUGGCGGGCGGCGGGCGGUGUGCGGAGGGGCGCAGGGAGGAAGUAGGGGCAGGGGCUAACCCGGCGGCGGCGGUGGCGUGGUAGUCCCCUGUGGCAGCCUCACGUUGGUGUCACGGCGGUCCCAUGCGGCGCACAUGGCCGGCCGUUACGUACUCUGCGGCGCCGACGUCCCGUUGCGGCCUGCUCGUCGCGUGCUUCGUCCACGUCCACCGCCAAGACCAGUCUUCCUCCGUCGUGCCCCUCCCCCCGAAUCCGCCCACUUCCCUCCGGCACGCCGUGGCUUCCCUCUCCAGCAGACGCCACCAAUGGCACAUAUAAGACUGGUACAACAGGCCGGUGCGGAUGUGCAGCCUCCAGAACCUCUUCUAACCGGAGGAAGUCGCCGAACACUGGGGUCCGGGGGUUGUGACUACUCCGAAGUACCGCCAAUGUCGUUUGUCACGUAGGCGAAGCUGACCAAUUAAAAGACGCACGGUUUCUCCCGGAGCUGUUCUGUUGUUAAGGUUGACAAUUAGAUAAGGGUACCCUUGUAUCGUUGUGUUGUUCUUUUUCCCCAACACGUUCUACAGUUCUAAUAACACUUCUACUUUUUGAAGAUGGCUUCCGCUCUCGAAAUAUCAAAACCCUAAGUAGACCACCGAAGGUACUUUGUAGUAGAAAACAACUCCUGUACACGUUUUCUAAAGUAAUUGUUUCCACCGAAGUUCUUCAAAUAAGGCAAUGAACUACCGCACCACUAUUACUUUCUACAGCCCGUAAAGUAUUUACUUCUUUUCGGUCUCCUUUAAUCACCCGAGUAUUAGUCGAAGUAUUUCUUUAAGUUAAACCACACAAGGGAAAGCACGCGAGCUCGCGAAGUUACCCGACCGGGUAAUUCUUAACAUCCUUCCCUCCUACAACUCCUGCAUCGUAAAGAAAGACUACAGAGGCAGCGGCGGCCACUCGUGCGGAACUGGGCCAGGUACAACCACGGUGCAACACAGUUUACAAGCUGGGCCAGGUAGUGCGCUUUGCGGAGGUGGAACUAGGUUGCGCGGCGGCGGAGGAGGCACUAAGUCUAGGAUUGUGUUGGGCGGGAGAGGGAGGGAGUCUAGAACUAGGCGGUGGCGGGGAUGGGGGUUGUAGCUGCUGGGGAGUGGCAUCUGCUCUAGCGGCGCAGAGGAGGAGGGGAGAGGGCGCAGGGUGGGACGUGGGAGCCGACGGCGGAGCGGGAGGUGUCGCGGCGGAUGCCGUCGAUGGACUGCAGGUACCUGCGUGGCCGCGGCGAUCCGGUGGCGCCCACGGCGCAGCUCGUCGCACUGAUGCUCUUUGCCCUCCUCCUCCUGCAGUCCACCGUCGGGUAGUCCGAGCACGGGUCCCUGAUGUAGGACGAGGCGGUGCGAUCGCCGACGAAGGAGGCGCGGUUGUCCUUCAUGGAGGGAACCUUGUUACCGCGGUCGUAGCUGCUGAAGCUGUGGCAGUCGUACUACUGAGUGACCCAGCACCUCGCGUAGGGUCGGUCCCUCCCGUACGGACUCCACUCGGGAGAAGAAUUAAUAAGGGCUUAAACGUGUUUAAACUGACCAUCUCCUCGUUGUUUACCUCUUUUGCUGAAACUUGGUCCAGAAGGUCUAAAACUAGGACAAUUCGUAGUGUUGUUAACGACAGGUACCCAGUUACCCUAACAACGUCGUCGAACGACAAUACUAUGAUCAAGGUCGAGUCCGUCAGGUCUUGAAAGACCGACCGUCGAUUGAUGGCUACGUUAACUAUGUAAGGUCAGAGAACCAGUUAGAGUUUUAGUUUGAUACGCCAGACUUAGACGUCGGAGCGAUUUCUACUAUCAUAAUUAUUAGAAACUGUAAAACAUGAUGAAGGAGGACGAUCCCAAAGCCACCACCCCCACCUUGAGAAGCAACGCGUGCCGACUCUACUUGCAGGAGCCGCCACCACCGCCGCGCACACUCUAGGAGGAGGUACUGUUCCGGCGGCGGCCUAGUCGAGGAGAGACGGCUACCUAGGAGCGGAGAGGCUGUACCGGCGGUGGCCUAGGGGAGGAGAGAUUAUCGUUGUGGAGGCCUAGGUGAGCAGGAGCUGUUGUUACCGUGGCUCCUCGUGGUCCUCGAAGCCUAGGCACGAUAUCUUACGGUAGAUCCUAUAGACAAUUCGGUGAACGAGUGGUCUUCUUCCGACACUUCUAGAAGGGGGCGGGAUGGAGACCUGGAGAAGCGGGGUAGCACGUUACGGUCUGGGUGUUCAUGUUGUACUUCCGGUCCCGACCGUCCCCGAAAUGGGAACUCCUCGAAUUCCACUAAUAGUAAGGAAACGAGAUAAAGCAACAGAGACUUCUCGGAUAGGUACUACGUUGUAGUAGACUAGGGUAUUAACCAAAUAUU
RNAcentral lists this ribosomal RNA (2553 nucleotides) under Triticum aestivum (bread wheat). RNAcentral's name for it is "partial small subunit ribosomal RNA". Lineage: Eukaryota; Viridiplantae; Streptophyta; Magnoliopsida; Poales; Poaceae. The record is from RNAcentral.